CCUACAGGGGGCUGCAGUGGGGAAUAUUGGACAAUGGGGGCAACCCUGAUCCAGCCAUGCCGCGUGUGUGAAGAAGGCCCUCGGGUUGUAAAGCACUUUCAGUGAGGAAGAACGCCUGGUGGUUAAUACCCAUCAGGAAAGACAUCACUCACAGAAGAAGCACCGGCUAACUCCGUGCCAGCAGCCGCGGUAAUACGGAGGGUGCGAGCGUUAAUCGGAAUUACUGGGCGUAAAGCGCGCGUAGGUGGCUUGAUAAGCCGGUUGUGAAAGCCCCGGGCUCAACCUGGGAACGGCAUCCGGAACUGUCAAGCUAGAGUGCAGGAGAGGAAGGUAGAAUUCCCGGUGUAGCGGUGAAAUGCGUAGAGAUCGGGAGGAAUACCAGUGGCGAAGGCGGCCUUCUGGACUGACACUGACACUGAGGUGCGAAAGCGUGGGUAGCAAACAGGAUUAGAUACCCGUGUAGUC
Molecule: ribosomal RNA, 465 nt
Filed under: Vreelandella stevensii
Lineage: Bacteria; Pseudomonadati; Pseudomonadota; Gammaproteobacteria; Oceanospirillales; Halomonadaceae
Description: partial 16S ribosomal RNA
Rfam family: Bacterial small subunit ribosomal RNA
Source: RNAcentral